RNAcentral lists this ribosomal RNA (442 nucleotides) under uncultured bacterium. RNAcentral's name for it is "partial 16S ribosomal RNA". It matches the Rfam family "Bacterial small subunit ribosomal RNA", at positions 338 to 795 of the family's 1533-position model. The record is from RNAcentral.
CCUACGGGAGGCAGCAGUGGGGAAUAUUGGGCAAUGGGCGCAACCCUGAUCCAGCAACGCCGCGUGAAUGAAGAAGGCUUUCGGGAUGUAAAGCUCUGUCGUCAGGGAAGAGUAGAAGACGGUACCUGACCAAUAAGCCACGGCUAACUACCUUCCAGCAGCCGCCGUAAUACGUAGGUGGCAAGCGUUGUCCGGAUUUACUGGGUGUAAAGGGCGUGUAGCCGGGUUGACAAGUCAGAUGUGAAAUCCUGCGGCUUAACCGCAGAACUGCCUUUGAAACUAUUGAUCUUGAGUACUGGAGAGGCAGAUGGAAUUCCUAGUGUAGCGGUGAAAUGCGUAGAGAUUAGGAGGAACACCAGUGGCGAAGGCGGUCUACUGGACUGCAACUGACGGUGAGGCGCGAAAGCGUGGGGAGCAAACAGGAUUAGAUACCCGGGUAGUC